This 28669-nucleotide long non-coding RNA is filed under the name Cucumis sativus (cucumber). Its description in RNAcentral is "long non-coding RNA (CSAT_LNC002717)". Lineage: Eukaryota; Viridiplantae; Streptophyta; Magnoliopsida; Cucurbitales; Cucurbitaceae. The record is from RNAcentral.
UUGUUAACUGAUGUAAUGAUAUACUUUUUAUUGACCUUGGGCUAAAUUAGAGUAAGACGACUGUUUGGGGUUAAAUAAGGAGUUUAUAUGAUGAGAAUGUUUAACUGAUCUGUGAAUGACUGUUAAGAUGUUUAGAAUGGACUGAGGGGAAAAAUUGUUAGCUUUUAUUGGGAUGUGUGCCUUGUAGGUGUCCCACGGGAUCACCAAUUAUUCUGCACCUUCGGGAGCAUUAGACUGAUAUGUGUUUCUGCAGAACACUAGACUGAAAUGUACGUCCCUCGGGGUUAGACUGAAAUAUGCAUCCUACGGGAUCACAAGACUGCGACUGUACAGGGUGUCCCAAUAGAAUGUUAACAAUUUAUUUUCCCCUGAUGGGACCAGUAGAGGGUUUCUUACUGGGUAUUUUAUACUCACCCUCCUUAUGUUUAAUUUUUUCAGGCAAAGGUAAUAAAGGCGACAAACCGGCGAGGGGCAGGAAGGAAGCGUGAUUGCCAUAGGGGAUAUUUUAAUUUGCUUCCGCUUAAUGUUUUGUUUCUCAUGUUUUGUUUUAGUACUUGAGAUUGUUUAGAAAAUUUUAUAGUUGAACUGUAUUCACGAAUUAGUAAACUUUUCUUGAAAGUGUUGGCUAUUUUAAACAGGGCCCAAAUAUAAAUUUUUGUUUUCUUUGAGACUUUGAAAUUAUUUGAGAUUGAGAUUUUGCGUAAACUCAGGUCUUUAUUUGAAAUUAAUGACUUCGACUUAUUUGGAAAAGUUGGGUCGUUACACCUUGUAUUGGUGUUUCCUUCCCAAUUAAAAUUGAUUUUCACUUGUUGGACCUUUUAGAUAUUUUGAACCCAUAAGUGGGGGAUUGUUAGUGAUAUAUAAUUAAAUUUACUUUUAAUCACUAGCUUAAGAUUUUGGGUGGUGGUUUAAUUAAUAGCAUCAGCUUUCUAAAAAAUUUCUUCAAGGCGGGUUUCCAAGAAGCGAAUUGAGUUAGGAACUUUCAUUAGGUAGAGCAUUUGCUCUUCAACCUUUACCAGUCGGUCCACAUGGGCCUCGCCCGACUAUUUUGUUAUGGACAUGUUUACAUUUUAACCGUUAAUAAGCCAACUUAGGCUAUCACACCCCACCACGAGAACCUACUUGCGUGGCUCGAGAUAUGGCGUGAAGCCAAUCGAUAGCACCCACGUCAAGAACGACACCAUUUAACCCUUAGCCUGAACCUUUAAACUCUAAACAACAGCGGAAACAUAACACAUAAAUUUUACUAAAACCAAUUGGGCUAAACCUUUUUCAUUUAACAACCUUAGACAAGUUUUACAUAGAAAAAACGUAAUCUUAUUUAUCUAGAACAAAACCUUAUUAAACCUUCCCAAAAGCCUAAGUCUGAUAGCACAAAAGACUAAUUUAUCAUUAGUACAAAAUAACAGGACACAUAUGAUAACAAAAUGAAAUCCUUUAGUAGACAGGUAGUAGCAAGUUAGGCUUAGAGGACACGAUCUCUACCUAGAAAGUGGGAAAACAUUUUGAAUAUUAUGCAUUUUGAAGAGUAAACAAUAUGCUUGAAUAAAUACCUUUAAACAAUAACACCCUUGAAAGACUUUUCAUAACAUAACUUAAACAUUUUAUCAUAAAUCCGUCAUAAAUCAUGACUUAAGAACAUGCUUGAAAUCACUUUAAAUAAAACAUUUUCCACUCAUAGAUACAAGCUCAAAUCCUUGGUUUAUAAAUUUGUAUGAUCUUCUCAUGUCCUGAAAUAAUGGUAAAAUAGUACAAUUAAUUAUCUUUUGCCAAUAAAAUAUCAAAAGUAUACUUAAAAAACACAAAAAAUUACCAAAAAUAGCUCAACACGCAAUAUGACACUGCCUGGCACGAAUGGGUGGGUAGUAGGGCCUUGGUUGGGCGCUGGCUACUGUGUGUGAAUCUCACAAGAGGCUUUUCACGCGUGUUGGGCAUGCCCGCGUGCUAACCUCACACACAAGCACAUUGUGAACCUCACAUGGUUGCGUGCUUGGCAUUUCGUGUAGCCCUCCUCGUGUGCAUUCUUGGCUAGUGCAUUUCUUGUGUCACAAUCGCGAGCUUUCAAACACGAGAGGAGCGAUUAUGUUGCACUUGUUUUACGUAGACAACAAGUUAGCUGAUCAAAAUCCAGAAACCACGGACAAACACAUGAUACGAUGUAGCCUCUCUUCACGUUCUUAAGAAAAUGUUUUAUAAAACGUGAGGAGAAAGAAAUUCAAUGAAAAUAUCGUUAAAGCAAGCAUUGAAGACUGUCAAUUGCAAAGAAAAACUUUGAUUGCGAAGAGUGCAACAAGGCUUGGGCAGGAAUUCAACUACUAUGUCCCAUCUAUAGUACAUUUUAGACUUUUUUAGUUCUGGUAGGCUUGCAUAAGAAAAAGCCAAGUCACACCCAAGGUUUAUGACAUAAAAAGGAAAGCAAAAAGUAAAACUAAAUACAAAACAUAAAAACAAUGUAAAUUGGGGGUGUUUGGGCAUGCGGCCAUAAGUAAACAGCGCCUUGGACAAGCAUGCUUGUUACAUUCUCCCCCACUUAAACAAUUGACGUCCCUGUCGACUGGAAGCUAGAAUUCCUCGAUCUUCUUCUUUCACGCUCCAAGGUCUUCAGCACAUUCCUAACGUGUUUCUUCCACAUGGAGGUUCUUUCACUUCAGUAGGAAUUCAUGUAUCUUCUUCAUGGGUAUACCCUUCCUCACUCUCUUAGGAAGGAUUUCUUCCAUUUCUUUAUCGUCUUUCUGCUUUAGGUCACUAGAUGACCAUACACCAUUGUUGCACUACUGGUCAUCUGGAUCUUGAUGGUAAGGUUUCAAGUUGCUCACAUGAGCUACUAGAUGAUUUUUUAUCCAUGCAGGCAACGAUACCCUAUAGGAUGCAUUUCCAAUUUUCUUCAGAACUUCAACAGGCCCUUCGUAUUUUCUGGUGAGAUGCUGAUGUUGAUGUCCUCUAAAUCAAAUUUGCUUUGCUUUAAACUCUAUGAAGAGUUGGUCUUCCGCUCAAAACUUGAGAGGAUGAUGCUUCUUAUCAUACGCUUCGAGACUUUCUCUUAGUAUGCUCGAGCGAUGUUCGUAGUCUUCUCCCACUUUUUCGUAAAGUUAUGAGCUUGAGGAUUUUUUCCGGCAUAAGGAUGAUCAACAAUAUGAGGCAGUAUAGGUUGUCUUCCACUCAAGAUUUCGAAAGGACUCGUUCUUGUGGAUAGACUAGUUUGUGCAUUAAAACAAAAUUGAGCCACAUCCAUCAACUAGGCCCAAUUCUUUUGUCCAGAAUCAACAAAAUGUCGUAGAUAUUCCUUAAGCAUACAAUUGAAUCCUUCAGUUUGGCCAUUCGUCUGAGGAUGGCAGCUUAAGGAUAUAUUUAGGCGUGUCCCCAAGAAGGCGAAUAGUUCGGUCCAGAGAGUACCAAUGAAUCUACCAUCCCUGUCACUCACAAUGCUUGAUGGAACUCUCCAUAACUUCAAGACGUUCUUAAAGAACAAGUGUGCUAUCAGCUCGACAGAACAUAGUUUUGUAGUGGGGAUGAAGGUGGCGUACUUCGAGAACCAAUUGAUUAUAACCAAGAUGCCUCAAAGUCGUUCACCUUUGGGAUGUGUAAUAAAAUCCAUGGAUUUCGCACAUUCAGGGAAUUUCAAUGUGUUCGACUAACUUUCCAAAGUUACUUUCUCUAUUAAAGCCUGAAGCCCCGUAUGCUGCAAGAAUCAGUGUUGCCAAUCGAGGUUGCAACGUUUCAAAUGCAACUGAUCAGCAUACCAUUCAAAAUUUGAAUUUUCAACAUGACGAGUUUGUAACUUUAGUGCCCCUUGGAGAAGAAAAUGAAAUUCAGGGUAUGUGUAAUUCAGGUUUUGUUCCACAAGAUAGUACAAUUUAAAUUAUUCUCCAUAUGUUGCUUAAUUAUCUCAUAACGGUUUAUUUAAACCAGGAUGCAGUGCAUGACAGCAACGGUCUGGUUUCUUUUGCAGAAAUAGAGAACAACACGACAGCUAGUAUUGCAAAAUUAUCCAAUACUCUUGGUAAUUUGGAUGAGACACAUUGUUCUUGCUCUAAACAUAGCGCAAAGAGAGUUUGGGAAGCAUCACUUUCUUCCCUGAAGUCAAAGAAAGUAAAAGGAGUCAAUCUGGACCAUUUCCAUUCCCACUCUAACAAAAAUCUUGAUCCUAAAAGUGAUGUAUACGAUACCUGCUCUCCAGGAUGCUCUUUAGCCAAUUCAAAGCAUGAGAUUUUAUCAAGUAUUUAUCCUAAAAAUCCAACCAAUCAGUGUACACAAAAUUUCUGUCAAGAAUUUGGAAGUGUAAAUGUGGCAUCAGAGGACCUCAAUUCUGAAGAGAACACAUUAGGAAAAUCAUUUAAAAUUAUGCUGAUGAACAUUGCAGACGAAACUAAGAAAACUCAGCUCAUGAAGGUACGGUACCAAUUUAUAGUCUUCUAAAAUAUUCAUCAUUCAUGUUUCUUUUAUGAGAUUUUCUAUUGAUGGUAUUGAAGUUUUAUAUCCUUGGCUUAGUAUUCUUUAAAGGGGUGUUUGGCACAAGGAGUGGUCCAAGAAGUUGUGAAAUCUAGAAAGUUUUGAACUCUUAGGGCCUAGGACAUACGAAGUCAAUAAGGCAUAAAAUUGAAAUUUUCUUGUCGGGAGUCCACAAACACUUUUGGCCAAACAAAGAGCGGAAAACUCCACACUUCCCUAAUCCUACUCUUCCAGCUCCUUGGCUCAUACAGCCUCUACGAUCUCUAAAUAUGAUAGGCCCAUGGUAGUGAAGGUGUACACCCGUAGGCACAAGAAAGGAUUCAGGAGAGGAGGAUGGGAAGCUGUAUUUGUUGGUCUGAAUGUUGCUAGUUAAGGGGGCCAUGAGUCUUUUAUGCUUUCAUAUAAAUGCUAUUAUGAUUGUUUGGGGAGGGUAUGUUUUGACAUACCUUGUAUUAGGUUUCUUAGAAUAAUUGGGAGAGCUAGAGAAGCUUUUGAUUCCUUCCCUCCAUUAUUGACAAAUAAAAUUGAGGUUAAGGCUUAUCAUAUACAUACCCAGUCAUUGAACUUCUCCAUAUUCCUUAAGAGGCUUGGCUUAUUUGGCUGGCUCUACUCAUGUAGGAUUUCGAAAGGCGAAUCUGACAUCCUGCCAAAAAUGAUUAAUCAGUUUCUUUAACUGUUGAACUUUUAGGUUGUAUACUAGCAAGCACAUGAAGUUUAGGGAUUCAAUCUUUAUAUUAUUUUUAAGAGUUAUUCAAUAUCCCUACCUAGAAUAGACAAAUGAAGCUUGAAACUACCCAUAAUAUUAAUGAUGUUGUUUAAUUAUGACAUUUUGUUAUCGGUCUUUCUAACUUACGAAUAUCCAUCUUCUGAUAUGUGUUCACAUGCAUAUUUUAUGGAUGUAGAUUUUAUAGUAUUUCUUUAUUUAUUUUAUAUGGCAUUAGCUGUAUACUUUUUUAUAAAAUAUUAAUAUAAAUAUUAAACCACCGAUUCACCAAAAAGUUUAAGCUGGUGGUUGAAAGAAAAUUCAAUUAUAGCCUUAAGCUUAAGCUACUUUGGUGGACUAGAAAGUAUAAUCUUAGAAACACUCAAUCUGAUCAAGUUCUCUGAAGCAAGAAUUAAAGUUUGGAAAAAUCUUUGCGGAUUUUUACCAGCAACUAUAGAAUUAAAGAGUGAGAACUGAGGAAAAUUUUCCCUUAAUUUUGGGGAUUUUGAACCCUUAGAAGCUCCUGUAAUAAUCCAAUCUGAUCUAUUUCAAAGUGAUUUUUCCAAUCCUAUUGAUUUAUGUAGAAUAAAUUCAGUGAUUUUAGAUGAAGGGCUCCAAAGUGAUGGUCUCCCAGAUACCUGAAUUUUCUCAAACAGAAUGCCCCAUCCAUCUCAAGAAAUCCUUUCGAAGCACUUAGGAAGUUGGAUGAUGAAGAAGAAAACCUUGUUCGACCGGAAAGAGUUUCAGACCUUGAAUCCUCGCCGGAAAAAAUAAUUUUCAGAAGGCAAAAUUCAAAUUUGGGUAUAGCUGGCAUCUCCACGUACUUAGAAGGGGAAAAGACUUCAACAGAAAAGAGAGAAAAACAGACCUUGAAAGUAGAAAAGGCAGCCAGCCGGUAUUUUAUUAUCUCAAAAAAUAGCUCACCUAGCCCUCCCCAACCAGAUUUUUUCAAACUUAAUGUAUCUGCAGACAUUUUAAAAUCUGACACACAGAUGGUAGGCCCCAAGAAUUUUAUUAAUCAGAAUACCAAUGGCUUUUGGUAUUCUGACGAAUUGGAGGAAGAAUCAGAGUCCUCUCCUCCAUCAAGGAACUUCACUUGCUGGCCAUCUCCUGUUUUCAGUUCUCAACCAAAAUUACCAGCCUCUCCCAAGACUAAAAUAUCCUCUGCAAUGAAAGCUAUUCCAAUACAUGCCAAAAAAUUUAUGAGCACCUCAAGACCUAUACCAAAGGGAGAACUUCUUUUCGCAACAUUUGGAUGAGCUUGGCUAAUUCUGAUUUAUUAGAGGAAAGUUGUGUGAAGAUACAAAUUCCAAAUUCAGUUGGCAAAAGGUCAGUACUGCCUUCCUCCUUAAGUAAUAAAUUUUCUCAAUCCUCCUCCAAACUUUUUGGUUCAUUCUUUAAUUUUGUGCAAGAUACUUCUUGUCUCAAAAAAGUUGAGAACCUAGAAGAUGAAUUCAUGGAAGUUGAAUCAGUCACCAGUUUAAGUAGUGCAGAAUUUGAACCAGUUGAGGAAGAAAUAAUUCAAUCAGAGACAGAGAAACAAGAGGACAUUGACUCUCUCGGUCCAGAUUUUAUUAAAUUGUUUUCCUCCCCAUAAAAAGAAAUUUUGUGCAGGUCAGCAAGUAUCCUUCCCCCUCAAGAGUUGGUUCCUUUCUUGGCAGCAUGUGAAAUUGAAUUGAUAUAAGGCAGAGGUAGCAAAGAUGGAGAUUAUAUCAUGGAACACUAGAGGAUUCAUGGGCCAUUCGAAACAAUUGGCUAUUAAAAAUCUUUUGAAGAAAGCUAAUCCAGAUAGAGCAUUGAUUCCGGAGACCAAAAGAGAAGAGAUUGCCAGUUGUAUUAUAAAGGCACUAUGGAGUUUAAAAGGAAUUGGCUGGGUCUUUGUUUGAAGCUAGUGGCAGAUUAAGAGUUUUGCUGAUUAUGUGGAUAAAUAUAAGUUGUCGAUUAUUGAAGUUCGGUCAAGAGAAGGAAUGUCAUUACAGUGUGGCUUAUAAGUUGUUUCAACAUUAAUUUAUAAGUUGUUUGGAAAGGUUCUCGCAGAAAGAUUAAAGAAAGUCAGGCCAGUAUUACUUUGUAAGACCUCCUAUUAUCUAUACCUAUAAAAGGAACGGUAGAAAGGGAAAUUCCUUAGCAACCAAUGAUGAGAGAAUAAUGGGAGAGGAUCGUGCAGGUGGGGCCCGCCAGGAGGGAUGAGAGAGAGAGGUAUAAAUAUGUAAUGUUGGGGUAGGGGAGGCUAGGUCUUUUUUGGUUAUUUCAAGGAGAGUAAAGGCUGUUGUAGCCUGAGGGUAUCCAGCCCCGUAUAAAGGAGCUGGGUAAGUUUUCUAUGUUGUUCAUCCUUUAUUUUUCAUAUCUACUACAGUUGAAUGUGUUUUGGCUUUUACAUAAAUAAAGAAUUACAGAGUGCUGCCUCUGUUUAGCCAUUUGGUUAGGAUAUUUUGUGUUUUAUUGUUAGAAUCCUAACAUACUUCUCCAUUACAAUGUGGCUUUCUGGAAGAGUGCCAAAUAUUGGAUCCUAUUUUAAUAGCAAAAGAAACUGUGGAGGUCUAUAGUAUCCGAAAAAAGAAAAGAUGGAUCAUUAAAUUAGACCUUGAAAAGGCCUUUAACAGAGUGGAUUGGAAAUUUUAGAAAAUGUAAUGCAAAAGAAGAUCUUCGACGUAGGAUAUUGUGAUGAUCAGAACUUUCGGAUCAACCCUCUGCUUCAAACAGUUUUUGCUCAACCAAUCAAGGCUUAUUCUUCUUUGUUCUCAGCAUGCUGCCUUGGAUUAUGAUUUUGCUUUGGAAAGAUUCUUUUUAUCAUUUUGUUUGUCUUUGUUUUUGUGGCUUUUUGUUUUGAUCUUGUGUUGUCGCUUUUUGGAUGUUUUGAGGGCACUAAGGGGGUCAACCUAGUUUGAGAUGCCCGGAUGCGCCUGUUGAUCUUCCCUCUCCCCUUUUGCUCUUUGUAUAAUCCUCAUGUACAUUGAGCUUUGUCUCUUUCUUAUAUUAAUAAUAGUGAGACUCGUAUCCUUUUUUAAAAAAAGAAAGAAAAUUCAAUUAUAUAUCACCAACACUCUCCUCACUUGUGGGCUUGAAAUAUUUGAAAGGCCCAACAACUGGAAACGGAUUUUAAUUGGGGAGGAAACGACAAUGCGAGGCUUGAACACAAGACCUUCUUGGACCACCUGCUCAGAUACCAUAUUGAAAGGGAGACAAAUAAACACAGAACUUUAUGUGGAAACCUGUGUACCAGGAGAAAAACCACUAUAUUUUUCUUCUUAUUAUUUUUGAUGAAAAAUACAAUAGGUACAAGGGAGAAUAAAUAGAAUAUACAGAGGAAUAAAAAAGGAAAAUAUUUAGGAAUUAAGAAAAAUAUUCCCAUAAACUUUUCAUAAAUAUUCUAAGAUUCUAACAAUAAAAAGUUCUAUUUAUUCCAAAUUGUGACUGCUCUAAUGUGCAGUUGUUUUCUGAUUCAGAUGAUUGAGGAGCUUGGUGGUUCUCUCACUGCUGAUGGGAGUACAAGCACUCAUGUCAUUACAGGAAAUUUGCGGAAAACUCUAAAUUUUUGUAUUGCUCUCUUUUCAGGGUUAGUCUUGCAACCUUAGACGAACACUCUUCUAUGUAUCCUUUUGGCCUUUGAAUACCGAUAAUCAUCUCAUUUGCACAAAAGUUAGCGAUUCCAUGCACACAAGGCCUUUGUCGUUAUUCUUCCAUUGCCUCGUAGUUGUGCUUAGGCUGGAAAUUGUUGUGAACCUUCUAGAUCUAAAAGGGCAUAGUUUCUUAUUCUACUGCCUGUUUACUUUUAAUUAAACAUCAAAAUCAAUUCUUAUGUUUGAGUUGGAUUGUAUCAUGCUCUUCCUUCUCAGUUGUUUCUAUCGUGAUGGUGGGUAGUGGUUGUUAAGACAACCAUUAGGCUAAUUUGGGUUUCAGGCUUACUUUUCCCAUUUUACGUGUAAAAUGGCUCAAGCUCACUAAUGAAAGAUAUUUGUUGGCUAGCUAGUGUUUUUAUCCUCGAUUUCCUUCUUCCCCUAAUACAUUAUGUUAUGGAAUUUGUUAGAUACCUAGAUUAGUAUAGGGUUGGGGUAUAAGGGUAAUUAGAUAUUUAGGAAGUUACUAGUAGUUAUUGUGUAAGUGUGGUUACUAGUAGUUAUUAUGUAAGUGUGGUAACUAGGGUGGUUACAUGUUAUUAUAAAUGGAGGGAGGGUAAGUUGGGAGAAUUUUGGGGAGUGAUAUAAGGCUUGGGUGAGAGUACUCAAGAGGGAGGGUUCCAAGUGCUUUAUACUUGGUUUUAUCUUGUAUUUUCUUAUAGUUACAUUAUAAUAAAUUCAGAUCUUGUUCUUGUUAGGAAGCAUAUGUCUCCAAUAUUAUUUAAAUACAGUAGAAGAAUUAAAAAGGGUAAUAUUGACCCACACGAGAAUAUAGGAGAGAUUAUAGGAGGAGAGAAUAUUGGAGGAGAUCUUUCCCAUUAGUUUGUUAGUAAAGCAAAAUAAAAGGGAGGAAAGAGGAGGGAGAAAGGGGACAAAAUAUUCCAAAGAAGUAGAGGCUGCCGUCUUUCAUGCUCGGGAGAAGUAGAGGGUCCAAGUCAAGUUCUUUUUAUUGUUUGUUUUGGUCAUUUUCAUGGUUGCAGUUUGUUCUUAGUUUUUCUUGUUCUUUGUUGUGAUCCUCACUGGAGUGUGCCUUUAGGAAGUAGAUGUGAGUGAUUUUUUAUUCUCUAUACUGUAAUUCGUUGAGGUAAUUCAAUAAAGUAAGAUGCACUUGCCGUAUAUUUACAGUAUCUUAACAAAUUGGUAUCAGCGAUUUUACUUGGGAGAACGAUAGAGCAGCACAAAAACGGAUCGAAGAGAAGUUGGAGACCUCUGAUAAGGAAAUCUCAGGGAUACAAGUUCAGUUACACAAGUUGCUGGCAAUUGAAGAAAACUUGUUAUGCUUGCCAAAAAGCAUCGAAAGACUAGUCAUCUAGUUGGAAAAACAAGAACGGUUGCUAAAUGCAUCAAAUGAAUAGCAGAAGGAUAAUUCGACAAUCUCCGGAAGAAUGGAAGGAUCAUCGAGCAAAGGACAAACGAUUGAGAGUAUCAUCGAAGGUGGAGGUAAGACAUUGAAGGAAAUCAAGGUAGAAGGUAAAACAAACAAGUUUGAAAUGGAUGAAAACUCGAACGAUCAUAGCAAAUUCAAGAAGGUUGAAAUGCCUGUGUUCAGUGGCACUGAUCUGGAUUGUGUUUAUUUAGAACGGAUUGGAAUCUUCAGGUCCAUAAAUCGAUGGAUUCCAAGAAGUUGCUAAAUCCAUAGAAGAAUCGAGGAAAACAUGAUUGCAACGGUUAUACAACGAAGGUGAAGAGGAUGGCAAAGAGUGACCAAGAAGAAACUAUAGAGGAAGGUCGACGAGGAUUACCUGUGAGGCUCGAAAUGAAGACUCGAGUGAAGAAAAAUUUGUUGCUCAAAGAAACACAAAAUGGCUGGUUGCAAUGGAGAAAGAAGAAGCCGACAGUUGCCGGUCUACAGAGGCUCGAGAAGGUGGUCUGGAAUAGGGGUGAAUCACGUGACGAGGAAGAAGUUGUUGCACACAUGAUGGUGCCAAUGACGUGGUAGAAAUUGGUAGGAAAGAGGAUUAAGACAAAAGUAACAAUCUUGGGUUUUACUAUUUCAAGUGGGCUUCAACUUACUCUAAAUAAGCUUCAACUUAUUCUAAAUAAAACAUUGGGGGCACAUCAUUUUGUAGAUGAAAUGGGUGGAGAGUUCCAAAAAUAGGAGGGAAGAAAAACGUGUAUGUAGGUGGGUCCUAGGAAUGAAACCGGCGGCAGUAUGAUUUUGGUCUUGACGCAACACUUUGAUUAUGGCCUAGCCCAAUAGAGAUGAAGAGUUUGAAAAUUAAACACUUGUUGGUGAUAUGCAAAGGGUUAACUAAGACAAUGUGUUUUGGAAAAGGAAAAUUCAAGUACAUUGGGCUGCUUUGUGGGCUGAAGUCAAUGGACCUUAUUGGAAUCGAGAGUUUUUCAAAGCCGAAGGGGAGGAUUUCUUUUUCAACAUUGAAGAGCAGAAUGCUGGGGAUUGUUUGCAAUUAAAAAGAGAAAAAAAGAGAAAGGGGCCUUGAUCAUGUUUGUAAGCACACCUUGAGGACAAGGUGUUUUGAAGGAUCGGGUAAUGUUAGAUACCUAGAUUAGUAUAAGGUUAGGGGUAUAAGGGUAAUUAGAUAUUUAGAAAGUUACUAGUAGUUAUUAUGUAAGUGUGGUUACAUCUUAUUAUAAAUUGAGGGAGGGUAAGUGAGGGGAGAAUUCUGGGGAGUGAUUAGGGCUUGGGUGAGAGUACUCAAGAGGGAGGUUCCAAGUGCCUUAUACUUGGUUUUAUCUUGUAUUUUCUUAUACUUCAUUAUAAUAAAUUAAGAUCUUGUUCUUGUUAGGAAGUAUCCUAAUAGAAUUCCUCUAGAAGGUCUCAUGUUAGCGAAUGAUAAUCUGCGUUAAGUGUGUAUUUGUAGGAGUUCUUCUCCCGGGCAUCUAUGGUUGAUAUUCUUUACCUUUCAAUAUAUCAAAGCCAAGGAUUCUUUUGCAUUUCUCUAUGCUUUUUCUUUACCCAUUUAUGCUUUUUUCAGUUAUAUUUGAGAGUAGUAUUUCAUUUCUUUCAUGUGAAAUGUUGAACUUCAGUAGUGUGGAGAGUGGAACGUAAUAUCUUACCUUUUAUAUUAGUAAACUUGAUUUUAAGCAAUGUGUUUUUGAAGAUUUUAUGUUGUAGAAUGUUUUUUGUUCUUCACGCUACUGUUCUUAACUUUAUUUUCUCCUGUUAAUGUUCUCAAUGAUUAUCGAGCAUAUGCAUUACCAUGUGGCUUCAAGCGUGUCAGUGUGCUCUUGCUCAUAAUUUUUACUAUAUCUUGUUACUAAAAUUGCAAGUUAAUUGCAAAUUACUCAGAGCUUGGAUUUUCUCCUCCAGUUGGUUAAAGGAAAGCUACCGGGAAGGUAGAUUUGUUGGUAAGUUCGAAUGGCUUGCUAGUAUCAAAGCGUAAUGUAUUUUCUUCCACUUAUGUUUUUCAUCCUACCUAAUUUUUGUGAUUGAUUAAUUCCUUAUUGAUCUGUAGACGAGUUGCCUUACAUACUAAAUGAUGAUGACUACAUAUCGAAGUAUCGAGCCAGCCUAAAAGCUACAGUUCUCAGGGCAAAAGCAUGUCCUGGAGCUUUAUUUGAAGGGUAUAAUGUUUGCAUAUCAGCUCACGCUCAACCACCACCUAAAACUCUAUCCUUGAUACUCAAGUCAGCCGGUGGAAAUGUAAGUUCUCUGUUAUUGUACAAAUCUCGAGUACUAGGUUUGGUUCUCUAUAUUACAUAUACAACCACUAUAAUAUGGCUAUCCUCCCAUCUAAUGAAGAUGUGAAGUUCUCAACAAACAAGCACGUAUAUGAAUUCUAGACAUGGGUCAAUAAAUCAUAGACAUGGUGACGUGCCAUUUUUUUCUAAAAAAUAUAGGAUAGCGCUAGAACACAGUUUUAAUAUAUAUAAUUUAAAAAGUAUGUAUCAUAUUUAUAUAGAAAUUCAAAGUCAAUAAGUUUAUGUAUUUAUAUGCUUAAAAAUAAGCUUGUCCUUCACUCAAAACUUAUUCAAAGCCAAGAGUUUAAUAUGUGUGUGUGACCAAUCUUGACCUUUAUUACAUUGGAAUACUUGUUGUCUAACACAUCUACUGUACUAACUAGUGUUCAACACGUGUUCUCCGAGUGUUCCAUACAUAUUGUUUAUUGAUACACUAGCCAAACUUGAGUGUAUGUGCUUCUUAAGUCUUUAAUAUUUAUGUUUGUUUUGAUCCUAGGAAUUGAGCAUGUAAUGUAAAAAGUCUAUGCACAAGGGGUCAUAUGGCCAUCUCCGUGUUUCUUUAAUUAUCAAAUUUGUUCAAGUUUUUAAUUGUCUCUAUAUCGAAAUCUGGAGUUAUUUUUUGUGAUUUGGUGUACAAAUACAUACAUCCAUGUUUCUAAUUAUGAUUAGAUUGUUUUCUUGUCGCAACAUUUUAUUGUUUAGCUUGUCUUUGAUCUUGAACUUACUAAAAUAACAUAUUUUCAAAAUUAAUUACUGUAAUAGUUAAACAAAAGAUUCUUUCCCUUAGAACUUUUAAAGUUUGUCUAGUUACCUCUUAAACCUUUCAAUUGUUUAAUAGGUCUUUCAAUUUUAUGUUUUAAGUGUCUAUAAAUUUUGAUUUUUUUAUUUAAUAGAUAUAAAUCUGAAGAAAUGAAUAAAGUAGAUUUGUAAGUUUAAAAUAGUUUAAAAGUUGAGAAAUUAAAUUUGUAGUUGAAAAAGUUGGAGUAAAUAGUUUGUGUUAAGUCGGGUUGUGAUAUUUUAUUUAUUUAUUUUAAUAAUAGAAGAGAGGGAGACGAAAACUGCUAACUGAAGGGAGAAGAAGCGGUGGCUGACUUUGUAUAUUUCUCCUUUCUUUUCAAAUUGAGAAAAUUUCUUUGCAAUUCACUUUGAAAAGGAAAUGAAUAUUUCUCCCUCAGACUUAUCUCUCUCUUCUUUUCAAUUUAUUUUCAAUUUUUCUGUGUGCUUCUCACAGUGUAUGCAUAAUCUCUCUUUCAUUUUGAUCUUCAUCUCCAUUUCAAAUAUCUCCCACACAAAGAACAAAUAAAUGAGUAAAGUAACUGAGAGAGCAUUUUGUUUUUCCCUUCAUAUGGUUGGUUACUUUUUGUCAAUUAAAUGAAAAGUGAAGAAUAAGAUAAGAUUUUCUUUACCCAUUUGCCAUCAUCAUCAAAGCUAUUUACCUCAUUUUUGUUCACACACACACAACUUCAUUUUGUUGGAUUACACUCAUUUGAGAAAAUAGCAAAAUUUUAUUAGAAGAAUAGCAAACAUGAGCAUUUCACGUGUUUUGAAUUUUCAUUAACCCUAAAAUCCCCUCGCCUGCUUUUUAGUUAAACUGUAACUAAUUUUGAAAUAUGCAAAAUUUUAGCAUAAAUAUUGAUUUUCUCCUACAUUAUCUUAACACAUUUUUUUUCUCCAAAUAUUGGAUUUGUAUCAAAUCUUUAUUUUCAAAUUUUACUUUAUCCAAAUUUUCAUUUUUCAAAAUUUCAUCGUUAUUCUACUUUUAUUUUUUUAUUUCAUAUAUAUAUUUAUAAUAUUUAAUCUUAUUUUUUCUCUUUUCCUAUUCAUCUUCUUCCUUUCUCUUCCUCUUCAACCUACGGCCACACCACCAUCUUUUUCUUCCUUCUCUUUUCCUUCUCCAAUCAACUUCACCACCGUCUUCCACCUACACCGAACGUCAAGCAAAUUUUGUCCUAUCGUCGCAUCACCGUUAGCCCGAGUCACUCCGGUUCCGUCACGCCAUGUAUGUUUAGAUCUGAAUUGUUUGGUUAUUUGUUGCACCGAUCCGUCUCCGUUAGAAUUUGUUCUCCACAAUUUGGGUAAGUUAUGGAAUUUACAUAUAGAGUGAAUUGAAUGGAUUAAAUUGUUUGUGGAAGUGAUUGAUUUCUCUUCAAUUAUGUUUAGGUCGGUUCGUUGCACUUUAGUUUGAAAAAGAAGCUUAAGUAAGGUUAUAAGGUAAGGAAUUCUCUACUACUGGACUUGCCUAUAGUUUUGAAUUGUGCUGUCUGUAUAGUUACCUCCGAUUGAGUAAAGAUGUUGAAACGAUAUAUAUAUGUAUGGAUGUAGACUUGGUGUUGAAUGUAUGCUGUGAAUGACUAAAAAAAAAUAUAUACAUGGAUUGAUGUAGACUUGAUGUUGAAUGCAUAUUGUGAUUGUCUGGGAAUACAUAUAUAUAUGUAUGGAUGUAGACAGGACGACAAUUGUAGAUUGUGUUUGUAUGGAAUGUGGAUGUGAACUUGUGAUUGUCGUUUAGAUUGGGUGUAGGUUAUACUAAAGUAUGGUUGCGUACUGAUGAAUUGAGGGGUGUUAUGACUAUAUAGUUUGAUUGACUGAUGUAUUGAUAUGUUACUGGCGGACAUUGGGCUAAAGUGAGAUAGGUUGACUAUUAGGGUGUUAAGUGAAAGGAUUAUAUGUUGAAGUAGCUGGAUUGUACUAUGAAUUAGUGUUAAGAUGUUUAGAAUGGAUUGAGGGGAAAAUUGUUAGAUUUCUAUUGGGUAGUUACCUUGCAGGUGUCCUACGGGAUCACCACCUGAUAUGUUCAUCCUUCGAUAGCACUAGACUGAUAUGUGCAUCCUUCGGGAGCAUUAGACUAAUAUGUGUUUCUGCGAAACACUAGACUGAUUUAUGCGUCCUUUGAGGCGUUAGACUGAUUAUGUGUAUCCUAUGGGAUCACAAGACUGUGACUGUGCAGGGUACCCCAAUAGGAAGUUAACAGUUUCUUUUUCCCCUAACGGGACCAAUAGCGGGUCUCUUAUUGGGUAUGUUUAUACUCAUCCUUUCAUGUUUAACUAUUUCAGGCAAAGGUAACAAAUGAGGUAGACCGACGAGGGACAAGAAGGAGACGUGAUUGCCAUAAGGGAAGGUCCUUCAAAUGCUUCCGCUUUAUGUUUCUUGUUUUUCCUUUGUACAUGAGGUUGUUUAAAAAUUUUGUGAUGGAACUGAGUUUACAAACUGUUGUUUUGUGAAUAGUACUUUUAAAGUUUUGGUUAUUUGAAAUAGGGCCCAAACUUAAGUUUGUUUUCUUUGAUCGUAUGAUUUCAAGUGAAUUUUACUAUAUUUUGUGUCAAUCAAGGUCUCUUUGUCAAAAUUAAUGACUUCAACUUAGUUAGAAAAGUUGGGUCGUUACAACAAAUUUUAAGUAUUAAUGUAAGAAUUAUGUACUUCAUUAUAAAGGUCGAUAGUUUAAAGUUUUUGACGAUAAUUUACAUGGAAUUACAGGAUCAGUUACCACUAUCAAUAGAAUCACUUACAAAUAUUAACACGAUCGUGUACCGAUAACAAGACGAUUGUUUACACUAUUCAAUACGAUCACCAAUAUCAUAUGAUCGUGUACCCAUGUCAACACGAUAAUUUAUUUUAAUCAAUAUUAUCAUUUACCGUUGUUAAAUGGUCGUUUAUCACGGUUAAUAGGAUCGUUUAAUGUAUAUUAUUUCAUUGCACGAUCGUUUACUUAUUCUUGCAUUGUGUUUAGUAUUAUCAUUUUGUACAUUUUAUUCUUUUAUUCAGUAAUAAAUGUAUAUCUAUGUCUAUCUAUUUCUUUCUAUCACAAUUAAAUACUUAAUUUUAUUUUUUUUUUUUACAGAUUAUAAUGUCUUUUCCUAUUGUUGUUUUUUGGAGGUCAAUGGAAUGGAUGUAAUAUUUAUGAGAAUUACUUAGUUGCUGAAAUUUUGGUAGGUGUCCGAGUCAGCUUUAAUUCUCUAGUUGAUUUAAUAUGUGAACAGAUUCAAUUGGAUGGAUAAGUAGAAUUAUCUGUUUUACUUGAUUUUGGUAAAAGCAAGGUCCAACUGUGGUGCCAGUAAAGAAAGACAAUGAUGUGGCUUGGUAUUUAUCUUUUGCUAAAGAUGCAACUAAUAUACAUCCAUUAGUUGCUCAUGUAACUGUUGAUUUUUUUAGAAGGUCUUCUUCUUCUUAGAGAACUACCUGUAGCUACCAUGCUUAGUUCAAUUAGAGAUGUAUUGCAAAAGUGGUUUGAUGAAAGAAGUAAAGCUACUUUUACAAUGAAGAGUUGUUUGACUUCUUGGGCUGAGAACGUGUUGCAUUUAGAAUAACAUGAAAAGUCAAGAAUUUUAUUGGUAAGGUUUUUUUUUUUUUUUUUAAUGUUUGUAUCUCAGGUAGAUAUAAAUAGACUGCUAUUUUUGUCCAUCCGAUAGAGAAAUAUAACAAUUUAUGUGUGCUUGUUUCAGAUAGAUAGAGAUAGAUAGCUAUCAAUGUCUAUUUGUCUCUAUUUGUGCAUGCUUUUUUUUUUAAUUUUUCUAUAUUUGUUUUAUGUAUUAGGUUGAUCCAAUUAGUAUGACUGAAUAGAAAGUAAUGGAUGAUACAAAAUGAUAAUGUGAUUUAUUUAUAUUGGUUCUAAUUUGAAAUAUUCAAAUUUACUUUGGAAAUUAGUAUAAUUAGUAUAAUAUAUAAUGAUACAUUAUAAUAUAAAGUUUAUAUGUUAAUGAAACUUUAUUAUAUAAAUUUAAUUUUAGAUAAAGUUCAAAAUUAAUUUAUGAGAGAUAAAAUAUUUGAAUGAGUUCAAAUAUUAAUUUAAUGUGGAUUUGUUUCAUAUUAAAACUAUUAAUUAUAAUAAAAGUUAUAUUUGAAUAUGAUUCAAAUUUAACUUAGUUAAAUAUAAAUAUUAAUUAUUAAAAUUGAAGAUUAAAAUAGUGUAUAUUAUUUAAUUAAAUUGAUUUAAUUAAAUUAAUAUAAAACUAUAAGGUAUUGGAGAGAUAUUCAUUCAAUAAGAUUUAAAUGAAAUAUUAAUUAAAUAUGAUUUAAUUAAUUAUUAACUAAUUGAUUAAUGGUUAAUUAGUUAGUUGAUUUGAAACUUCUAUUAAUUUAAUAUUUUUAAGUUAAUAGAAUCCUAUGAUUUUCUCCUACCCCGUCUCCUACUCAAUGAAAGAAAGAGAGUUAUAAAUAUGAAGAAGAAAAACAACUUUUCUUAACCAAAAUAAAAUCGAUGAUUUUCUUUUCUGCAAAAUAGAUUGUAACGACCUAAUUUUUCGAAUUAAGCUGAAGUUAUUACUUUAAGACUAGAUUCGUCCUUUAACCAUAAGACUUUAUAAUUUAAAAAAAUAUAUCUUUUAACAACAUUAAAGAGUUUUUAUUCAGGCUCUAUUUCAAAUAAAACUUUGAAAGUGUAAAAGUAUCGAUAAUAAAGAAAGUUCAAGAACAUAAAAGUCGUUCAAUCAUGAAACCCAAAACAGUCUCAGUUACUAAAGAAAACCAAAAUAAAAAAAAUAUAAAGUAUAAGCAAUUUGAAGGACAUUUCCCUAUGGCAGUUUCGCGGAAAAAGAUUAAACAUAAAAGGGUGAGUAUAAACAUACCCAGUAAGAGACUCACUACUGAUCCUGUUAGAAGAAAAAUAAAAUUGUUAACUUCCUAUUGGAGGUGCCCUGCACUUUAAAAGUCUUGUGAUCAUGUAGAAAUACACAUAAUCAGUCCAAUGCCCUAAAGGACACAAAUAUUAGUCUAGUGCUCUUCAGAAAGCACAUGUAAGUCUAGUGCUUUCGAAGAAUGCACAUGUCAGUCUAUUGCUCUCGAAGAAUGCACAUGUCAUUCUAGUGCUCUCGAAGAAUGCACAACAGGUGGUGAUUCCGUAGGACACCUGCAAGGCACACUACCCAAUCGACAAAGCUAACAAUUUUCCCUUAGUCCGUUAUAAACAUUUAAUCAAUCCAUUCCUAGUAUAGUCAAACUAUUUCAUCAUUGUAAAGCCCCAAAGGUAAAAAUAUAUAUACAUAUACAUUUUUUUAUUUUUUAUAUAUUUUUAUUUAAUUUAAAUAAAAAGAAAAGAAAAAGAAAAUUCUUUAUUAUAUAUAUUCUUUUCUUUCUUUUUUCUUUUUCUUUUCUUUUUCUUUUCUUUUCUCUCUUCUCCUUCCUCCCCGUGCGCCCUUCCCCUUCUCUCCGUUCGCAGCCCAGCAACCGCCGCCGCAGCCCAGCAACCGCCACCCCGAGACUUCUCUUCUUCCGUUUCUCUUUCUCUUUUCUUCUUCCGCCCAGCGCGCGACCGACCCCCAUCCGUUCGCAGCAACCGUCGACCUCCAUUCUUCUUCUCCUUCUGUUCGCAGCAAGCCGCCGACCAUCUCCCGUCGGCCAUCUCCUUCUUCUCUUCUCCUCUCCGCUUCGUCCAAACCCAGCCUCACCGCCGCGUCUCCCCUACUGAAGCCGAACGCCCGAUCUGCCGUCUCCAUCGCCGGUUCUGUCUCCGUCGAAGCCACGGUUCUGCAAUCGUCUCCGCCGGUUCUGUCUCCGUCGACCACAACCGCCACUCCACCUGCUAUCAACGUCGGCCGACUAGUUGCUGUAACCGUUCAGAUUUGCUGUAACCGUUCAGAUUUGCUGUAACCAUUCAGAUUCGCGUCUGUUCGCGACGGUCUCCAUCCGUGAAGCCCAGCCGCCACGUUCCCUUUGGCCGACCUGACCGACCCACACUUAGGAUUUUUGCUGCGAGUUCGACAUUCGUGCGUUGAGGUGUUGGGAGUAACGUUAGGCUCCCUUACAUUCACAACCCGUUUGUGAAUUGUUGAAGGUUCAGUUCGCCAAUAUAUCGGUGAGUUGGAACUUACGUUGAGGAAAGUAAGUGACAUAUGUAUCGUGAAAGUAAUUGAAUUUUGUAUUGUUAUGCUUAGGAUUGUUUCGAGGACGUUAGUUGAUUAAGGAGCUUCCCUAACUUUGAGGUAAGGGAUUUUCUACUGGACUCACUUAUGACUGUGAAUUGUAUGUGUUAAAUGUAUACUGUGGAUUGACUGAAAAUAUAUAUGAAUGCAUAUGAAUUGAAGUAGACUUGACGUCGAAUGUAUAUCGUGAUUGUCAUGGAAUAUAUAUAUAAGUGUGUGUAUGUGGACAGGACGAAGAUUGUAGAUUGUGUUUGUAUGAGAUGCAGAUGUGAACUUGUGAUUUUCGUUUAGAUUGGGUGUACGUUACGUUAAAGUAUGACUGUGUGCUGAUGAACUGAGGGGUGUGUUGACUGUAUAGUUUGAUUGACUGAUGUAUUAGCAUAUUAUUGACAGACAUAUGACUGAAGUAAAAUAAGUUGACUGUUAGGACGUUGAAAGAAAGAACUUUGUGUUUUGAAGUAAUUGAAAGAUGGAUUGAAUGGAAUGAGGGGAAAAUUGUUAGAUUGUAUUGGGAUGUGUACCUUGUAGGUGUCCCACGGGAUCACCAAUUUAUUGUGCACCUUCGGGAGCAUUAGACUGAUAUGUGUUUCUGCAGAACACUAGACUGAUAUGUACGUCCCUCGGGCGUUAGACUGAGAUGUGUAUCCUACGGGAUCACAAGACUGCGACUGUACAGGGUGUCCCAAUAGAACGUUAACAAUUUAUUUUCCCCUGACGGGACCAGUAGAGGGUCUCUUACUGAGUAUUUAAAUACUCACCCUUCUUAUGUUUAAUUUUCAGGCAAAGGUAAUAAAAGCGGCAAACCGGCGAGGGGCAGGAAGGAAGCGUGACUGCCAUAGGAAAUAUGUUGUUUGCUUCCGCUUAUGGGUUCUUGUGAGGUUUAAGAUGAAUUGAAAGUUUGCUUACAAACGUUUAUUGUAAAUAGUAUUGUUUUUAUGUUUUCUUAAAUGUUUGAAAUUCAGGCCUGACUUAAAGAUGUUUUUAAAUUAGCUUACGUUUUGUUUUAUAUUAAUCAAAGUCUUUUAUUUGUAAAAAAAAUUAACGACCUCGACUUACUUAGAAAAGUUGGGUCGUUACAAUCAUAUCAUCAAUCCAACUUAACACACUUACGUUCAAUCUAUUCAAUCUAUCACAAAAUCAGUUGAUACUAUAACAACACACCAGACAGUCAAGAUAUAUAUAUAUACAUAACACCUUUCUCAGUUUACAAAUACAUUAUCCAUCGUAUCUACUUCUAUACUAGUCUGGCAUAAUAUACAUUUGUCAUCAUAUCUACUUCUACAUAUUUGGUAAACCAUACUAAGUCCAGAGAUCCAAACAGUCAACACAUUUCAAAACUUUCAAAGAGUCCAGUAAUAGAAACCCCUUACUUUAAUGUUACUUAAAUUUCUCGAACGAAGGAAACCUAAUACUAAGAAUAUGGAACUCAAUUACUUUCACAAUACUUUCUUUCAUUUAAUUUCCUCAAUGUAAAUUCUAGCUUAUCAAAGUAUUGGCGAAUCGAACUCCAACAAAUCUACAAUUUAGUUGUGAAUCCAAAGAACUCAAACGCUAACUUCAAGAAUCAAUUAACAAUUUAACUAAUUAUCCAAAACUACAACCCAAGGAUAAUUACAAUGUAAAACCACCACACUCACCAAUACAACUUACCACAAAAAUCCCAAAAAUUAGAGUAAAAUGGGGGCAACAACUUCGAAUAACUGGAAUCGACGCGUGUAAUAGAUCAGAUCUAAUCAACAAACGAAAAACAAACUUCAGCUUACAACCCAUGGCUGGAAGGUGAAGAGCCGCGCGACGGCACUUCAACAGACGUGACGGGCUCAGGUCUGGUCGACGGCUGCUUCAACUAAGUAACAACGCCGGUGAGAUGAUAGGUCAAUCGGUGACGCUCCUCGUCACCUGGAGCAGAAUGUGGUGGCGCGAACGUCGAAGGAGCUACGCGCGAAUGAAUCACAGCUUGGCUGGAAAACAGAGGUGAGACGCGAUGCCGAGAGUUCGAACUCACGACGAACGGUGCUUCGGCUUCAACGGAGACGAAGGGAUCGGUGACGGCGUGGCCGGCUGACGUCCAAGAGUAAUAUAAAAUGGCUAAGGGAGGCAGGCGGCGGUGGGCACGGGGAAGAGGAAGAGUGAAGGAGAAAGAGAUGGGGUUGCACGUGAAUCAAUAAAGAAUUGAUAUUUUAAAUUAAUAAUAACAUUAAUUCUAUUAUUAUUAUUUAACCUUUAGUAUUAGUAUAUUUUUUCAUAAAAGCCCCCUUCACUUCCUGCUAAAUCCACACCACAACCAAAUUCCUUAAAAUCUUAAUAAAAUUUUAAAAAUUUAGCUUGAGAGAAAUACCUUGAUAUUGGGGGUGUUACAUAGUUUCUCUCUAAAUUUUUUUUUCAUUCCAAUUGUUUUCCACAAACCAAUCUCAUCUUCGAAGAUAGGAAGGUCUCCAACGGGUGGUGUCCCAAUUCGGUGGAUUAUAGAUUCAAAGACGUCAACAAGAGUCAGUUCUAUGUAUCUUUUAAUUUAAAAGCAUAUUUAGUUCUUUAUUUAGAACUUUGAUUCUAAAUAUUGUCAAUGUACUGGUAUUUUGGAAUUUUCAAAUUAAAAUUGAUGAAUGGUUUUGUAAAAUCUUUCACUGCCAAGAGCUUUUAUCCCUUUAGGGCACACAUACCAAUUAAACUAAUGCAAGACCUUUGACAGUAGUUAAUGGUAGCAUCUCACAAAGUGGAAGUGGUUGGCUUACCAACGGAAGAUUUUCAAUCAUUUCUAGCAAUCCCUUUUCUGUUUGAGUAUGACCUUCCAUAUUUUCUGCUAUAUUACUUAUAGUUAAUAUCAAAUGUGCAUCUCUGCCAUAUAUGCUAAUAUCACUGCCUGACUACUCUUGAUGUUGAGGCGUUGUUCAUUUUUGUUCCCUACACAGAAAAGAAAAAAAAUUGUUGUUUAUUUAUAAUCUAAGCAAUUUUAAACAAUAUAAAGCGGUAACUAAUGAAUUAAACACUAACUGUUGAGUUUCUACAGUAGAUUCUUGAAGAUGUGACUCUUGAACAAAUGGAUUCUCAUGGAUGAUCACAUGUUUGUUAUUUUGAUGGUCAUCAUUCUUGUCCAGAUUGUGAUGACUAGAAUCAUCACGAAGAUCAUCAUACAUGUUGUUAAUAUCAUCAAACAAUUGAUUCUGGUUCUAGUAUAGAAAGAAAAAAGGAUAAUAAAAAAAAUAGUUACAAAAUGAUCGUGUAUCCUUAAGCAAACAAUCGUGUAGAAUAUCUAAACGGUUGUUUUACCAAGGGUGAUCGAUAUUUCAGAUGGGAUAUGCGAUCGUUCAUAUGUGAUAUGCGAUCGUGUAAAGAUAUAUCAAACCUUUGUUCUGUCAGAAGUCGUGCUAAGAAGAGUUGAAAGCUUGUAAUAAGAUCCAUCAAAAACUGAAAGAUUUUACAUCAACACGUUCCUGACACAGUACUGCAGUAAAUCAUGAGCAUCAAAUUACGUGAGAUACAUGUUAGAAAAUAUCUAACUGCUCAGUUAAUUUUUUAUGCGACAUCAAAUCACCUUUUUUCAAGCUUAAGGAAGGAAAUGUCGGCACUAUAUAUGUCAGAGUUGUGCAUUGCAAUGGAAGUGCCAACACGAGGUGAUACAUGUGUGUCUUUCUGGGAUGUAAAUGCCACUCCCCCGACUAGGACCAGCAUAGUCUUAGGGAGAAAGCAUGCUAGGAAUUGGAGUUGUGUCCUCAAUUUCUCCAAUUUUACGAACAAAAAACAAGUCGAAUAUGUAGAUGCACACUCUUUGUCAUAAGAGAUAUAACAACGUUUUAUGGGUCAUUUUGAAAAAUGGCAAAACUACUUUUUCUUUUAAAUUUUAACAAAUAGAAUUUUUUGCACGUGUGCAUGAUAUUUUAUAAAAUACCAAAAUAUUCACCUUCUCAAACAGUAAUUAUUUCGUUUCUGCGUUGUAAUUAAUUUAUGUUAUGAAUUUAUUAGCUUUUAAUUAUUUUUUACCUGAAAAGAUACAUCCUUUUUUCUUAAUAUCUCGGGACUCAACUAAUUGAUUCAAGAUUUUAAUUUUAUUUGAAUCUUACUAAUUUCAAAAAUAACCUAAUUAAAUUUCAAUUUCAAAAUAACAAAAUUAUUAUUUUUCGAAAUUUGAGAAUCUCAACGAUAGAUUUGUAUCAAAAUAACUUUUAAUUGAAUUUCAAAAUUAAAAAAAUCAACUUGUACACUAUUUUUCUCAAAAUAACAUUAAUGACUUGAAUAUCAAGAUAAUUGAAUUAUUAUUUUAAAAUUGGGAGAAAUUUUACAUUAACAAAUAUCAACUUGUUCGCACACAAGCACACGCACACGCACGCGCACAUAUGCACACACGCACAAGGAUGUGUAAAUUAAUUAAAGUUAAAAAACAAAUACAUUAAUUAUGUUUAGAAAGAGUUUUAAACCAUGUUCAUUUGACUUAAUAACAUUGAUUAAUUAUAAUUUCUAUCAAUAUUGGCUUAAAACUGUCAUUCGUGUAAUUAUUUCAAUAUAAUGCGGUCUUAUCCAAUUUUACCAACAAAAAACAAAUCGAAUAUGGAUCAGUAGAUCUACACUCUUUGUCAUAAGAGACAUAACAACGUUUUUUAGGGGUCAUUUUGAAAAAUGACAAAACUACUUUUUCCUUUGAAUUUUAGCAACUAGCAUUUUUUGCACGUGCAUGGUAUUUUUAAAAUAAAAUACCAAAUAUCAACAUUCUUCAACUGUAAUUAUUUCGUUUCUACAUUGUAAUUAAUUUAUGUUAUGCAUUUAUCAACUUUUAAUUAUCUUUUACUUGAAAUAGAUAUAUUAACUCAUAUCAUAAUAUUUUUCUUAAUAAUCUCGAGACUCAACUAAUUAAUUCAACAUAUUAAUAACUUUAUUCAAUCAUACUAAUUUCAAAAUAACCUAAUUGAAUUUGAAUUUCAAAAUAACAAAAUUGAAUUUUCAAAAUAACAAAAUUAUUAUUUUCCGAAAUUGAGAGUCUCAACAAUAGAUUUUUGUAUUAAAAUAACCUUAAUUGAAUUUCAAAAUUAAAAAAUAUCAACCUGUUCACUAUCUUUAUCUCAAAAUAACAUUAAUGCCUUGAAUAUCAUGAUAAUUAAAUUAUUAUUUUAAAAUUGAAGAAACUCAACAUUAAAAAAUAUUAACUUGUUCGCACACAAGCAUAGAAGCACUGCGCGCACACGUACACAUGCACACUUACACACACGCGUGCACACGCACACCUACACAUAGACACCACAGACGCACGAACGCACGCACACACACAUGCACACGCGAACGCAUGCACACACACACAUCUAUCCACACGCGCACAAGCACACACACAUGCACAAACGCACACACGUGUACGCACAAACGCACACACGUAAACACAUACGCACACGCGCACAAACACGCACGCGCGAGCACACCCACACACCCAAGCACACACGCAAUAGCCCGUGCACACACACGCACGCACAAACACAUACAAACAUGCACACACCACACACACAUGCACACGGACACUCGCACGAACACACGCACAUACACAUACGCACACCUACCUACACGCGCACACGUACACAAGCACAUAUGCAUAAAGAUGUAUAAAUGAGUUAAAAUUAAAAAACAACUACAUUAAUUGUGUUUAGAAGGACUUUUAAACCAUGUUCAUUGACUUAAUAACAUUAAUUAAACUAUAAUUUCUACCAAUAUUGGCUUAAAAGUGUCAUUCGUGUAAUUAUUUCAAUAUAAUGCGAUUUUAUCCAAUUCUAUUAGCAACAAACAUGUCGAAUAUGAACCAGUAGAUAUACACUCUGUCAUAAGAGAUAUAGCAACAUUUUUAUGGGUUAUUUUGAAAAAUGGCAAAACUAUUUUUUGUUAAUUUUAGCAAAUAACAUUUUUUGCACGUGCAUAAUAUUUUAUAAAAUACCAAAAUAUUCACAUUCUCCAACUAAAAUUAUCUUGUUUCUAUAUUGUAAUUAAUUUAUAUUAUGCAUUUAUCAGCUUUUAAUUAUUUUUUACCUGAAAAAGAUACAUAAACUCAUAUCAUACUUUUUUCUUAAUAUCUUGGGACUCAACUAAUGGAUUCAAGACUUCAACUUUAUUUAAUCUUACUAAUUUCAAAAUAACCUAAUUGAAUUUGAAUUUCAAAAUAACCUAAUUGAAUUUGAAUUUCAAAAUAACCAAAUUGAAUUUCAAUAUAACAAAGUUAUUAUUUUUCAGAAUAUGAUAAUCUCAGCAAUAGAUUUUGUAUCAAAAUAACUUUAACUGAAUUUCAAAAUUAAAAAAUAUCAACUUAUUCACUAUCUUUAUCUCACAAUAAUAUUAAUGGCUUGAAUAUCAAGAUAAUUAAAUUAUUGUUUUAAAAUUGGGAGAAACUCAACAUUAAAAAAUAUCAACUUAUUCACACACAAUCACACGUGCACACACAUACAUACACUUGCACGCGCGUGCACCCAUACACGCACACACACACGAACAUAGGCACACACACACAAACACACACAUGCACACGCAUGCACACAAAUGCACACGCAAACACGCACACACCUACUCACGUACACAUGUAUGUGCGCAUACACACACCAAGCACACGUGGACAUGCAACACACACGCGCACACACGACGCCCACUGAUGGUUCAAUUUCAUCUAUAGUUCCUAUUUUUGCUGACAGUUUAUUUUGCCAUCGAUAGAGGAUCUUCCGACAGAUCUACCUGACGGUGUGUGUUGACAGCUUAAUUUCGUUGGCAAAAGAAAAGUUGAUUAGUUUUUGAAGAUUUACUGACGAUAUUUGUCAUCGAGAAAGGGUAAAUUUCUUGUAGUGCAUGUACGUCAAACAUAUCGAAUUUGUUAAGUGUACCAAUGAAGUAUAACAAGUUUAUUAGUGGUGUAUCAAGUGUAUCAAAUUAUAAGUGAAGUCUUUUAAGUGUAUCAAACUAAUCAAGUGUAUCAAGGUCUCAGGGGUAUCAAGUGUAUCAAGAAGAAUCAAGUGUAACGAGAAGUAUUAUGUGGAACGAGAAGUAUUAUGUGUAUGAAGAUGUUUCAAGUGUGUAUCAAAAAGUAUCGAGUGUAUCAAUGAGUACCGAGUGCAUGAAUUGUAUCUAUCAAAUGUAUCAAGUGUAACAGUAAGAAGUAUCAAGUGUAUCAAGGGGGUAUUAGGUGUAUCAGACGUGUAUAAGGUGUAUCAAAUGUACAUCAAUAACGAGGGCAUUUGUGACAUUUUACCUCUUGAUGUGUGAGUUGGUCUUUGUUUUUGUCAUUUUCUCAAAUAAUAAAGUAUGUGUUCUAUGGACUUAAUUAUUAUAACUAUAUUUUCCAUUUUCGCAAGUGUCCCAUAAUUUUAAUACAUGUAUAUGUGACAUAAUCUAAUCAAACUAACUCAUAAAUGGACUUAAUGUAUCAAGAGGUAUUAGGUGUAUCAGACGUGUAUAAGGUGUAUCAAAUGUACAUCAAUAACGAGAGGCAUUUGUGACAUUUUACCUCUUGAUGUGUGAGUUGGUGUAACGCCCCAAACUCGAAGGUAUUUUAUUUUAAGAGAUUUUUUCGAUUUGUACAAGAUUUAUUGUUUUGAAGAAAAUAUGUUGAAGGGCGGGAAAGAAGAUUUGAAAAUGUGAUAAUAUAAUUAUAUAUAUAUUUAUUUAUAUUUUUAGUUUUAUUAUUUAGUUUAAAUAAAAGAAAGAAAAGAAAUUUUAUUAUAUAUAUAUUUAUUUAUAUUUUAGUUUUAUUUUUAUUAUUUAAAUAAAAAUAGAAAAAUGAAAAUUUUCCUUCCUUCUUCCUCCCGUGCGUCCUCCAUCCCUUUCUCCUUCCCGUACCCUAGCAGCCGCACAUCCCUCUCUUCUCCGUUCACACCAGUCGGCCACACAAGCUGCCGGUCGUUUCUUCUUCUUCUUUCCGAUCGUCUUCCUUUUCUCCUUCGGAUCGAAACCGCCGCGCCCAUUCGCUCACAACCGUCGUGCCUCUCCGCUCACAACCGUCGUGCCUCUCCGCUCACAACCGUCGUGCCUCCCUCGGAAAGCAAAUCGUCGUCCAAAUCUGCAUCGCCGAGCCGUCUAGGUCCUCGCCGUCGCAUGUGCUUCACCCUUGCCGUUCGCCGUAACCCAGAUCCGUCGCUGCAAUCGUCGGUCGGUUCAUUAAGCAAGCCGUACGCGUCACUCUGCAGCAGUCGUCCAGAUCUGCGUCGCCGUGCCAUUCUUUCCUCUCCGUUCGUGAAACCUGCUGCGCAAUCUCUGUCUCCGUCGAAGCCAAGCCCACCGCCGCCCGUUCCUUUCUUCUCCGUUUCUACACUGUCGCGCGAUUCUCCGACCGCGUCUGUCUUCACCUCCAUAAAGCCGUCGACGCAUACAUCUCGUGAAGUCAUACACGGAUCCAAGCCGAUCUCUUCCUAAAUUACGUGUCCCUUAUCAUUGGGCUCAUAUUUGGAUAAGAACAAGUUAUGGUUUUUGUUGGUUUCUUGGUUUUUGUUGAAUGCUGCCAUUGGAUUUAAUUGUUGCGAAAUGCUUAAUUCUUGAAGGUACACCUUGAUUCAGUGAGCGAAUCCUUGAUUUUCCAAAAGGUUGAAGUGGACUUGAUUUUCCACUUCUUAGGUAAGUUGUGGAAUUUACAUAUGGGGUAAUUUGAAUGGUUGAAACUAUUUAGAAAGAUGUUGAUUUUAUGAUUGAUUAUGUUUAGGAUUUGAUUCAUUGGAUUUAGUAGAUUGAAGAACUUGCAUAAAAGUGAGGUAAGGGAUUUUAUUUUCUACUGGACUCACCUAUGCUUUUGAAUUGUAAUGUUAGUCACCUCUGAUUGAGUAAAUGUGUUGAGACAAUAUAUAUAUACGUAUGGAUGUAGGUUCGGUGUUGAAUGUAUACUGUGGAUGACUGAAAAUAUAUAUAUACACAUGGAUUGAAGUAGACUUGAUGUUGAAUGCAUAUUGUGAUUGUCUUGGAAUAUAUAUAUAUGUGUGGAUGUAGACAGGACGACAAUUGUAGAUUGUGUUUGUAUGAGAUGCGGAUGUGAACUUGUGAUUGUCGUUUAGACUGGGUGUACGUUAUACUAAAGUAUGACUGUGUGCUGGUGAACUGAGAGGCGUUAUGACUAUAUAGUUUGAUUGACUGACGUAUUAGUAUGUUACUGACAGACAUUGGGCUAAAGUGAGAUAAGUUGACUGUUAGAACGUUGAGUGAAAGAACUUUAUAUUUUGAAGUAACUGAAAGAUGGUACGAAUGGAUUGAGGGGAAAAAUUGUUAGCUUUUAUUGGGAUGUUGCUUUGUAGGUGUCCCACGGGAUCACCAAUUAUUCUGCACCUUCGGGAGCAUUAGACUGAUAUGUGUUUCUGCAGAACACUACACUGAAAUGUACGUCCCUCGAGGCGUUAGACUGAAAUGUGCAUCCUACGGGAUCACAAGACUGCGACUGUACAGGGUGUCCCAAUAGAAUGUUAACAAUUUAU